RNAcentral lists this small nuclear RNA (106 nucleotides) under Octodon degus (degu). The record is from RNAcentral. Lineage: Eukaryota; Metazoa; Chordata; Mammalia; Rodentia; Octodontidae.
GUGCUUGCUUCGGCACACAUAUACUAAAAUUGGAAUGAUACAGAGAAGAGUAGCACGGCCCCCCUGCAAGAAUGACAUGCAAGUUCAUGCAGCAUUCCAUAUUAAA